CCAAACCAUGGUCACAAACAGAACUAGCCCGGACAUCUCCACCCUGAUGUCUGAGCUUGCACACUACAGAUGAGACCCUGGGCGCUGACCCUGCUCUCCGGAUGAUUCUAAGCAGAGGAACUUUGAAGAUGACCUCAACUGUGUUCUCUCUGCAUCUUCUUCCAGAAUCCCAGAUUCAUCUUCCCUGUCCACGGCUGCCCAUCUGUCUACCACUGAGUGGGCCAAAGAGCUGCAGGUUGAAGCCUUUAAUCCCAGCAUUCGGGAUGCAGAGGCAAAUAAAUGCCUUGAAGCACAAUGCCUCACCUCAGGAAUCAUCCUCGUAGGCCUGCUUGGGGCUCCAAUCUCCUCAACAACAACAACAAAAAAGGAUCCAGACAGAGCUCUGUGUGAGGCUGAGGAAGGACCCGGGGCUGGUGUCCUCAAAAGCCUCCCCAUCCACCCCUUCCUGUGCUGCCUCCCCAGGAGCUGGGAGACUUAAAGACGAUACAGACUGUGCUUCAGUAAAGUGCAAAACCUUGGGCAAGUUGGACCAGGAGACGGAAGCAGCUUUAGGGGCUGUCUGCAUCCUUCAACC
Molecule: long non-coding RNA, 574 nt
Organism: Arvicanthis niloticus (Nile rat)
Lineage: Eukaryota; Metazoa; Chordata; Mammalia; Rodentia; Muridae
Source: RefSeq, a predicted model, not a curated record